UACGUAGGGUGCGAGCGUUGUCCGGAAUUAUUGGGCGUAAAGAGCUCGUAGGCGGUCUGUCGCGUCGAUCGUGAAAACUUGGGGCUUAACCCUGAGCUUGCGGUCGAUACGGGCAUGACUGGAGUUCGGUAGGGGAGUCUGGAAUUCCUGGUGUAGCGGUGAAAUGCGCAGAUAUCAGGAGGAACACCGGUGGCGAAGGCGGGACUCUGGGCCGAUACUGACGCUGAGGAGCGAAAGCGUGGGGAGCGAACAGG
Molecule: ribosomal RNA, 254 nt
Filed under: uncultured bacterium
Lineage: Bacteria
Description: partial 16S ribosomal RNA
Rfam family: Bacterial small subunit ribosomal RNA
Source: RNAcentral